RNAcentral lists this non-coding RNA (76 nucleotides) under marine eukaryotic metagenome. RNAcentral's name for it is "Cyclic di-GMP-I riboswitch". It matches the Rfam family "c-di-GMP-I riboswitch aptamer". Rfam says of the family: GEMM was predicted in a large-scale screen for bacterial structured RNA regulatory elements. Genes associated with GEMM are involved in a diverse array of functions, including chemotaxis regulation, signal transduction, secretion and chitin. The record is from RNAcentral.
UCGAAAAAGGCAAACCAGUCGUGAGGUUGGGACGCAAAGCCAUGGGCCUCUGUUUCAGAGGUUGCCAGGUUUCCGA